This is a non-coding RNA of Equus caballus (horse), 2727 nucleotides long. NCBI's taxonomy places the organism in Eukaryota, Metazoa, Chordata, Mammalia, Perissodactyla, Equidae. The record is from RefSeq and is a predicted model, not a curated record.
UACUCCAGGGGCCGCAGCUUUGAGUAGCAGACAAUAGCCUCGGUUGCUGCUGGCUUGGAUCAACCCCUUCAUAACCCAAUCAUCAUCGACCUUAUCGGCCAACUCGAUCCUGUUCCCUGAAUACGGAAGUUGAGAGUCUCAUGUUACAGUUUCUGUCAGGUCGAGAUUUGUGCAGGAAAAGGAUACCUGGGUUCAGACUCUUGUGGCUCCAGCUGGAAAAAACCUUUGGUCUUCCCAGGGCUUCAGGGAAAACUCAAGUGAUGCCCACACAAGAGGAACUUGAGGAACUGAUCUCUCCUGUGCAGGAUGGAGAGGAACCUUUGAGACAUGACUGAUAAGGAUCCUAGUUUUAAAGGAGGUUUUCAGGAACAUGCAGUCAAGGAGUUAGGGACACACCAUCUAGAAAGAGGCCCAGUUCCCUCGGGGCCCCUCUCUGUGUCCCUCCUCUGGGCCUGGAGCCUGGUGCAAGCUGUUAGAAUUUCCUGGAAGGUCAUCGAUGUGUCUCUCUGUGUAUUGCCUGCCCUCACAGUUCCAGUGGCCGUCCUCUGUCCUCUGCCUGAAAGGGAAGCCCAUUACCUCCUGGAGAGGGUCACAGCUCAGCGGUUAAGGGGACAGGCGUUCCAGCUAAAUUGUCCAAGGCCAAAUCUUUGCUCUGCCACUUAGACGAAUAACUUCAGAGAAGUGUUUGCAAAGCUGAGAGUGACCUGGUAAAACGAUCAAGACAAGACUGGUCAGAUUUGACAGGCCAAACGUGGAUGCGGGUAUUUUUGGAGUGGGAAGCCCACGUUAAAAACAAACAUUUCCGGAACUAAGAAAUUCAAUUGAAAAGCCGGUUCUAGAAAAUGCUCACUCAUCAAAUAUUUAGUAACCACUCACUUUGAGCCAGGCACUGUGCUGGGAGUAGGGGAUACGGGUAUGAAAAGGUAUCAGCUUCUAUCUUUGAGGAAUUCGCAAUCAGACGCUGUGACAGAUAUCUCAGGGGGUGCAAACAUAAGAAAGAGAAAUGAAACCAUGUCUAUUUCAGGCACCCAGAAGAGGUGGUACCUGACUUCAUCAUUGUAGGAGGAGUCAUCAGAGGCUCCCACCAAUCAAUUGGGUGCCUAUUGAGUGAGUGCUCAGUGAUUAUUGAGUGAUCAUGUGCUCAGUGAGUCUAUAAGACAGGGCUUCUGCGGUCCAGCACCCUAUAAGAUAAUUGGAGAGACCAGACUGAAAUAUGAGAGACAAGAUAAGAUAACACAAGAUGAGAUAAGAGGUGAUAAGUUUGUUAUUAAGCGACAAGCACUUUUAGACAUAGCACAGAUCACUCAAGGCUGGAGUCAUCUAAAAGGGCAUCCUGAAAGAAGCUGCGCUGGAACAAAGCCUCUUGAGAGGAGGUUACUCUGGAGCAGGCGGAGGGAAAUGGGGAGACUAUUCCACAUGGGGUGGGUGGGAACGAGAACUAGAGCUGGGAAUGGGCAGUAAUGGACUUGGAACAAUGAGAGGGUCGACUGAGCUGAGAUGGAGUAUGUUUGUGAUGAAUAAUAGGAAAUAAGGUAGGGUCAACCCAACUGCAUCGGAAGAUACAUCUUGGCUAAAGCAAGAGAGAAGGUUAGAUGAGGAGCGCAGGCUAGAUGAGAGAAAGCAUUGAACAGCCAAGCUGAAGGACGGCACAGUAGACACACAAGCACAGCAGGAGGAGGUGGAAGACUCGAGUUUCGGUCUGGGCUCGGCCACCACCAACUCCAGGAAGCUUUUUAGGCCUCAAAGUCCUCAUCAAGGCUGCAUUAUGACUUUUGUGGGCCCCUGGGCACGUUUGUCUUGGGCCCUUUCCUCCCUAAAAAAAAUUAUGAAAAGUUGUAUUUUACAACUGUGUUGUUACAAGGACAAAUACAUUACUUACAUAUUAAAAUAAAUUCUUUGACCUAAGAAUUCAUUUUUUUCAUAUGAUUUUUAAAUAAAUUAACAUAUUUUUGUGGGUCCCUAAGAGCAUCGUGGGCCCUGCGCCCACCCUAGCUAAUGGCUAGGUUGGCCUGGUCCUCAUCCGCCCCACGGGGAGGUGGAGUGCAGGUGGAUUCUAACUCCUUUCCUCCUUUGGAAAGUGUGUGAGUCACUUCCCAACCUCUCAGUCUGCAUGGGAUGGUUGGGCUGGUACUUUCAACAGCUUAAUAUUUGACCUGAAAACAAUCAUAUGGAAAAAAUAUUCACAGAAAAAGGAAAGAUAAUGAAUUUUUUUGUAAUUUUCAAAUACUAGGUGAAAAUUCUCUUAACUAAAAAACGUGUUCAUCAAAAGAAAAAAAAGAAAUUUCAUUUUUUUAAAAGAAGUAGAUUGAUUUUUUUAAAAGAAAGAUGUGUUCAUUAUAAAAAAACUCAGCACCAAAAGAUGCAAAUAACUUAGAAUCUCCUAUGCCACUUUCACAAGAAAAGAAAUAAAGUCAUAUGUCACAAAAAAAUAAUAGGGUACAGAAACUGAAAUGAGACUGAAGGAAUUGCUGAACUUUGAGUAAACCAUGGUUAAGAAAAUAUGUUUUCACUGCCUCCUCUCUCAUUCUGAUCCACACUUCAAAGUAUCUGGUAUUCAUGCUUUCUAAUUUGUGGUUUGCAGUAACGGCUAUCUCCAUGUUUCAUUGAAGAUAGAUUAUUUUUUUGUCUUUUAUUUCAUCUUUUUGAUAUCAGUGGCUUUGAGGGAGGGGAAUAAAAAUGUCUUUAUUCCACUAUUUUUUAUUUUCGCUUUUCAGCAAUCAUUUUUUU